RNAcentral lists this ribosomal RNA (468 nucleotides) under uncultured bacterium. Its description in RNAcentral is "partial 16S ribosomal RNA". It matches the Rfam family "Bacterial small subunit ribosomal RNA", at positions 28 to 507 of the family's 1533-position model. The record is from RNAcentral.
GACGAACGCUGGCGGCGUGCUUAACACAUGCAAGUCGAACGGAAAGGCCCUGCUUUUGUGGGGUGCUCGAGUGGCGAACGGGUGAGUAACACGUGAGUAACCUGCCCUUGACUUUGGGAUAACUUCAGGAAACUGGGGCUAAUACCGGAUAGGAGCUCCUGCUGCAUGGUGGGGGUUGGAAAGUUUCGGUGGUUGGGGAUGGACUCGCGGCUUAUCAGCUUGUUGGUGGGGUAGUGGCUUACCAAGGCUUUGACGGGUAGCCGGCCUGAGAGGGUGACCGGCCACAUUGGGACUGAGAUACGGCCCAGACUCCUACGGGAGGCAGCAGUGGGGAAUAUUGCACAAUGGGCGGAAGCCUGAUGCAGCAACGCCGCGUGCGGGAUGACGGCCUUCGGGUUGUAAACCGCUUUCGCCUGUGACGAAGCGUGAGUGACGGUAAUGGGUAAGGAAGCACCGGCUAACUACGUG